AUUGAACGCUGGCGGCAGGCCUAACAAAUGCAAGUCGAGCGGAGCGGCGGACGGGUGAGUAAUGCCUAGGAAUCUGCCUGGUAGUGGGGGAUAACGUCCGGAAACGGGAGCUAAUACAGCAUAAGAUCAGAUGAGCCUAGGACGGAUUAGCUAGUUGGUGGGGUAAAGGCCUACCAAGGCGACGAUCCGUAACUGGUCUGAGAGGAUGAUCAGUCACACUGUAACUGAGACCCGGUCCAGACUCCUACGGGAGGCAGCAGUGGGGAAUAUUUGACAAUGGGCGAAAGCCUGAUCCAGCCAUGCCGCGUGUGUGAAGAAGGUCUUCGGAUUGUAAAGCACUUUAAGUUGGGAGGCGUUACCAACAGAAUAAGCACCGGCUAACUUCGUGCCAGCAGCCGCGGUAAUUC
This 407-nucleotide ribosomal RNA is filed under the name uncultured bacterium. RNAcentral describes it as "partial 16S ribosomal RNA". It matches the Rfam family "Bacterial small subunit ribosomal RNA", at positions 30 to 526 of the family's 1533-position model. The record is from RNAcentral.